This 455-nucleotide ribosomal RNA is filed under the name uncultured Cellulomonas sp. Its description in RNAcentral is "bacterial SSU rRNA". It matches the Rfam family "Bacterial small subunit ribosomal RNA", at positions 926 to 1382 of the family's 1533-position model. The record is from RNAcentral. Lineage: Bacteria; Bacillati; Actinomycetota; Actinomycetes; Micrococcales; Cellulomonadaceae.
CAAGCGGCGGAGCAUGCGGAUUAAUUCGAUGCAACGCGAAGAACCUUACCAAGGCUUGACAUACACCGGUAACGCCCAGAGAUGGGUGCCCCUUUGUGGUCGGUGGACAGGUGGUGCAUGGUUGUCGUCAGCUCGUGUCGUGAGAUGUUGGGUUAAGUCCCGCAACGAGCGCAACCCUCGUCCUAUGUUGCCAGCGGGUCAUGCCGGGGACUCAUGGGAGACUGCCGGGGUCAACUCGGAGGAAGGUGGGAUGACGUCAAAUCAUCAUGCCCCUUAUGUCUUGGGCUUCACGCAUGCUACAAUGGCCGGUACAAAGGGCUGCGAUACCGCGAGGUGGAGCGAAUCCCAGAAAGCCGGUCUCAGUUCGGAUUGGGGUCUGCAACUCGACCCCAUGAAGUCGGAGUCGCUAGUAAUCGCAGAUCAGCAACGCUGCGGUGAAUACGUUCCCGGGCCUU